Molecule: RNase P RNA, 332 nt
Filed under: Methylovorus sp. MM2
Lineage: Bacteria; Pseudomonadati; Pseudomonadota; Betaproteobacteria; Nitrosomonadales; Methylophilaceae
Description: Methylovorus sp. MM1 Bacterial RNase P class A
Rfam family: Bacterial RNase P class A
About the family: Ribonuclease P (RNase P) is a ubiquitous endoribonuclease, found in archaea, bacteria and eukarya as well as chloroplasts and mitochondria. Its best characterised activity is the generation of mature 5'-ends of tRNAs by cleaving the 5'-leader elements of precursor-tRNAs.
Source: Rfam by way of RNAcentral
GAAGCUGGCUAGGCAGUCGCCGCUUGCGCAAGCAGGGGGAGGAAAGUCCGGGCUCCAUAGAGCGGGAUGACGGCUAACGGCCGUACGCAGCAACUUUUAUAUCGCAAGAUAUAAAGGCCAAGGCGAGGAAUAGGGCCACAGAGACGAGCGUAUUUAGUUACGGUGAAACGCGGUAACCUCCAUCCGGAGCAAGGCCAAAUAGGGUAGUAAUGGCGUGGCUCGCGCUGCUACCGGGUAGGCUGCUUGAGCGCAUGAGUAAUUGUGCGCCUAGAUGAAUGACUGCUAUCCGCAGAAAUGCGGCACAGAACCCGGCUUAUCGGCCAGCUUCCUUC